GGACAAGUGGGAGAGCUGGCUGAAUCCGCGCCCCUGCUAAGGGCGUGUAGGUGCAAACUUACCGAGGGUUCGAAUCCCUCCUUGUCCGCCA
RNAcentral lists this transfer RNA (91 nucleotides) under Campylobacterota bacterium. Its description in RNAcentral is "Epsilonproteobacteria bacterium (hydrothermal vent metagenome) tRNA-Ser". It matches the Rfam family "tRNA". From Rfam's summary of the family: Transfer RNA (tRNA) molecules are approximately 80 nucleotides in length. Their secondary structure includes four short double-helical elements and three loops (D, anti-codon, and T loops). Further hydrogen bonds mediate the characteristic L-shaped molecular structure. tRNAs have two regions of fundamental functional importance: the anti-codon, which is responsible for specific mRNA codon recognition, and the 3' end, to which the tRNAs corresponding amino acid is attached (by aminoacyl-tRNA synthetases). tRNAs cope with the degeneracy of the genetic code in two manners: having more than one tRNA (with a specific anti-codon) for a particular amino acid; and 'wobble' base-pairing, i.e. permitting non-standard base-pairing at the 3rd anti-codon position. Lineage: Bacteria; Pseudomonadati; Campylobacterota. The record is from RNAcentral.